UUUGCCUGGGUUUAUUUGUUUUACUUUGCAAUAAAUUUAAUACAGACUCCCUGAAGCAGAGAGGCAGAUGGACUAUAAACUCUGCAUUUUGAGCAGCCUUUCUUACUAGGUUAGUGUGAGUUUUGAUCCCUGCUUAAAUUAUAUCUAUGAAAUUUGACAUGGAUUUGGGUCUGGGGUUUGCUGGCUUGUUGGGACUCUGGAGCUGUUCUUAGGGAAUUUACAAGGGCGGACUUGAUUAUUGGGGCUUUAAUUUCUCACAGAGGCUAACAGGGAGUCCGAGGAGACAGGUUGGGGUACAACAGGAAGAUGGAAAAGCAAGAGAGUUGGGUUUCUGUGGACCCCCAGUGAUGACGUUAUCAGUGUUGUUUUCACACGCCUCUUGCAAGGUCUGAAGCCAGACGUCAUGGACCUGUGUGGAACCCUUCGGCCUUCCUCGAGGGAGGAACUCCUAGGGAACUCAGAGCCUAAGGGAAGAAAACUCAGAUACACAUAAGAGGCAGAUAUCACUAAAUACCAAGGAGAACAGUGCAAAUUAACAUUUCAUGUAAGUGUAAGUUGGACUGAGGCGAUACAGCAAAAGGAAAGACACGCAACAACCCUCUCAGGUGAGCACUCUUGCCCCACGCCAGGGUGUGCACCUCCUCCUGUCUGCAUCCUCCCACAGGUCACUGAAGAAAGACAGUGGCAGGAACCAGGAACAGUACAACCUGAAUUCUUGGCUCAGCUUCACCAAUUCCUUCUUUGUCCAAAUAUUUGGGCAACGUGUAUUUAAGCUCUCCCAGCUUCGGUUUCUCUGUCCGAACAACUGAAAUCACCUGACUACCAUGAGGAAGAGGGAAGAUAACUUUGAUAGGGAUGGACAGGACAGGAUUGUUGAAAGUGUGUCGUGGACAGACGCCACCGUACUGUGCGGUCACCACAAUGAGCACAGGAAGGCCUCAGCCAGAGGAGCAUUGUGAGUGGAAUUCCAGGCCCUGCCGGUGAAGCGGACAUUCCCUAGGGGAGUUGGCUUCCACAGUCAAGCAAGUCAAAAUCCCAGUAGACUUGGAUGUGGGGGUGAGGGCUCAGAGGCCCAGAAAGACCCUACAAUUCAGGAGGAAGAAUAAAGAUCCACUAACACUGAAAUGGAUUAAAAAUGGAAGAGCCCAAUCCAGGAAGACGUGGCAUCAGACGCUGAGAGACGUCACAAAGACCCAACUCCUAACCCAGUAUAGCACUGACACAGGACAGAAAAGCAUGCUGGGGACACCGGGGCGUGGGUCCAGAAGCACAUGAAAUGGUACAUGAAACCCUGGCACAUGAUACAUCUGGUAUCCUAAGUCAAACAGUAUAAAAUACGAACUAUUUCAUAAAUGCUGAGUAAGUUCA
Molecule: long non-coding RNA, 1368 nt
Organism: Peromyscus californicus insignis
Lineage: Eukaryota; Metazoa; Chordata; Mammalia; Rodentia; Cricetidae
Exons: 2
Source: RefSeq, a predicted model, not a curated record